CGAGUGACAUCCGCCUCUUAACAUUGAAUCAUCGCCGCAGCUCCCAAAUUUUAACAGUUGGGUUGAUAUAUGGUCGAUGUUUUGCUUAUAUAUAUAUAUGUAUAUAUAUAUAUAUAUAGUGGAUGGUGGUGUAUGGCCGUUCUUAGUUGGUGGAGCGAUUUGUCUGGUUAAUUCCGAUAACGAACGAGACUCUAGCCGCCUAUUAAAAAGGUGCGUGGUUCUCUGCUGCUUGAAUCCUUCUUAGAGGGACAAGCGGCUCCGCACAAAACAGAGCGAUAACAGGUCUGUGGUGCCCUUAGGUAUCCGGGACCGCACGCGCGAUGAACUCAACGAAGCAGCGUGUUUUUAUCCCUCUCUGUAAAAACUGCGUAACCCGUAAACCCUCCUUCGUGAUUGGGGCCUGCAAUCGUUCCCCUUGAACGAGGAAUUUUAAGUAAGCGUGAGUCAUAAGCUCCCGUUGAUAAC
RNAcentral lists this ribosomal RNA (465 nucleotides) under Ixodes scapularis (black-legged tick). RNAcentral describes it as "eukaryotic small subunit ribosomal RNA". It matches the Rfam family "Eukaryotic small subunit ribosomal RNA", at positions 1237 to 1648 of the family's 1831-position model. Lineage: Eukaryota; Metazoa; Arthropoda; Arachnida; Ixodida; Ixodidae. The record is from RNAcentral.